CGUAGGGUGCAAGCGUUAAUCGGAAUUACUGGGCGUAAAGCGUGCGCAGGCGGUUAUGUAAGACAGAGGUGAAAUCCCCGGGCUCAACCUGGGAACUGCCUUUGUGACUGCAUAGCUAGAGUACGGCAGAGGGGGAUGGAAUUCCGCGUGUGGCAGUGAAAUGCGUAGAUAUGCGGAGGAACACCGAUGGCGAAGGCAAUCCCCUGGGCCUGUACUGACGCUCAUGCACGAAAGCGUGGGGAGCAAACAGGAUUAGAUACCCUGGUAGUCCACGCCCUAAACGAUGUCAACUGGUUGUUGGGUCUUCACUGACUCAGUAACGAAGCUAACGCGUGAAGUUGACCGCCUGGGGAGUACGGCCGCAAGGUUG
Molecule: ribosomal RNA, 370 nt
Filed under: uncultured organism
Description: bacterial SSU rRNA
Rfam family: Bacterial small subunit ribosomal RNA
Source: RNAcentral